Long non-coding RNA from Equus caballus (horse), 5539 nucleotides. Lineage: Eukaryota; Metazoa; Chordata; Mammalia; Perissodactyla; Equidae. The record is from Ensembl.
CUCCCAAUAGCAGGCAGAAGAGUUAUCUCCAUCCAGAGGUGGCAAAGCCUUCAGGGUUCGACUCACAUUGUCUGUUCUCAAGGGACUCACACACACAAGCUAGACUGCCGAUUUGUUAAUUUGACAGAGAACUGAGACUGUCAGGAGGCUGCACUGGUCAGCACGUCCUCUCCUUCUCGAAGCAAAGCCCCUGGGGAAGCCAGGCACCAGCAGAAGGCUGAUUGGUGAAGUCACAGCCCAGCGAACCACAGGCUCUUCCCGGCGAGAGGCAGGAAGCUGGCAAGCCAGAGCGCACAGCCCCUCAGGCCUGGCGGCCCGUCUCCUGGAAAGAGGACGCCCGCCCUCCGACAUUCUCACACUUCGGAUGCUCCUGUUCUAGAAUCAACUCAUUCGACUAAAACAAUGACUGAUGACAAGUACUGCUCUAGGCCCUGGGAAUAGACGAUAACCCAAGUCGUCCAGCAGCUUCCUGUUGAGUCGGAGAGCAUGAGUGCAAAGAAUCACCAUUUGGGCAAGUUAGCAAAUCAGUCCACCGGUUACAGAAGUGUCACUCAAAGUGGAAUCCACAGGUGCGUGCUCUGGGAUAGGAUACUUCUCUAUGGAGACUUUCUCCCCUGUGUUUUCAUGGCAACGAUAAUCUAAGAAAAACAGCAUAGGAGCAUAUGCUAUUUCCUUGGGAUGGCCGCCUUGUAAGUGAGAGCUGCGGAACCAAAUCACGUACAGCACGAGACAGCCAAGGCCGGCCCAACACGGAGGCUGCUCUGCAGGCCACAGGAGGAGGGCCACCUGGUGAGACGCUAUUUAGUGUCAGUUACCACUUCAAAUUAAUGCUGCUAACUUGAGCUUUAUUGGCUUUGCAGUUUUGCUUGUAUUUCGUUUGUUUGUUUUGGUUUAUAAUAAUAUAAGUUGUAUAAGGCAUUUAUAUAUAGUUUUACACAGAUCCAAGAAACAUUUUAAUAAAAACAAUAGAGAUCAACCCUGCGUCUGUUAAGAAGAUUUUGUUCAGUUAUUUAUUUAUUUUUGCCAAGGAAGAUUAGGCCUGAGCUAACAUCUGUGCCAAUCUUCCUCUAUUUUGUAUGUAGGACACUGCCUCAGCAUGGCUGACAAGUGGUGUAGGUCUGUACCCAGGAUCCAAACCCAUGAACCUGGGCUGCUGAAGCAGAGCACACCAAACUCAACCACUACACCACAGGGCCAGCCCUAGAAAGAUUUUAUUUUUUAAAGGGCUCCUCAUAUUACUCAAAUUUGAGGAACGCUGAGUGUAGCUGACUUUAACUGCAUGCUAAGCAUGGCUACCUUGAUUAGAUGCUCUGCUGGCAACACACUGCGUUACCCAGGCAGGUGGGUAAAUUAGCCCUUUUGACUUUACUAAUUGAACUCUCAGGAAGAGAUGCCACAAACUCAGUAAAUUGACUAUACGACAAAAGUCAUGUUUAUUUCAUGUAUCAUUCCCUCUCUUCUUUCCUCCUUACUUUCUGUUAACACACAGGCGUUGUACUAGUGCUGAAAUGUAACUGAUAGAGAUACAGACAGGAAAGGAAUGACCCCUGCCUACAUGGAGCUUAUGGACCUGAGCAUUGUUUUCCAAAUGCUCCUGAUGACAACCAGCAUGUGGAGGACUAGUUAAAAUACACAUUUCCAGGCCCCACCUCAAGCUCUCUGAACUAGAUUCUCCAGGCAAGGGGUCCAAGAGGCUGUAAAUUUAGCAAACACCAUUGGUGAGUGUUAUCACGAGAAUUUUUAUGAAUUUUUCUGGUAGAUUCCACUUCUAUAAGUCGGGGGUGGCGUCUAGGAACUCUGUGGUCCUCAGGGAAGGAGGAAGUCAGUAAGCAUUUUAAGUGGGGAUAGGAGAUAAUCGUGUUCGCAUUUCAGACAGGGAUCACUCUAGCCGUGUGGGUAAGGCAUCAGUAAGAGGGAAAAUGAGAACCCUAAGCCUGCUUAGGAAGCUGCUGGGCUGCUCUGGACAGGACAUAGUGGUACCCGGACUAGACUACUGUUGUGGGAGCUGAGACAGGUGAAUAGACUCGAGAGGCAUCUAGGAGAAGAGUCAACAGGACCUACUGAGGGACUGACGUGGGGCUUAAGGGAGAGAGCAGCAUCAAAGGUGACUCCUGAAUUUCUGGGCUCGAGCUCCUGCAUGGACGGAGAGGCCCUGCACUGGGAUAGCAACAGCAGGAGAAGGAAGGCUUUGGGGCAUGGAAAGGGUCGAUCAUGAGUUUAGCUUUGGGAAAUUUGAGAUCCACAUGCCACAGGUACAUCUAAGUGGAGACAGAUGUUCAAUAUGGAGUUGUACGUAGGAAUUCUGCUCUAGACUGAGUGUUCCUAUCCCCCUAAGUUCAUAUGUUGAAACCCAAACCCCCAGUGGCAUGGUAUUUGGAAGUGGGGCCUUUGGCAGGUGAUUAGGUCAUGAAGGUGGAGCCCUUAGGAAUGGGAUUAGUGUCCUUAUAUAAAAGAGGCCCCAGAGAGCUCCCUCGUCCCUCUGCCACGUGAGGACACAGAAAGAAGACGGCUGCCUACGAACCAGGAGGAGGGCUCUUACCACAGAGUGUGCCGGCGCCUUGAUCCGGGCCUUCCAGCCCCCAGAACCGUGAGAAAUACAUGUUAUGUAGUCUAUAAGCCACCAGGCUGUGGUGUUUUUGUUGUGGCCGCCCAAACGGACUAAGACAAAUCCCUAGCUGCACAGAAGAAUCUGGGAUGGAUAUUUCCACUUUGGGAGCCAUCAGAUGAAAGAAUCCUUGAAGAUAUGACAGUGAAUAAGAUUGCCUUGAGAGUGUGUGUAUCCAUGAGAAUGGCGAAGACAAAAAGAAGUCUGAACAUUUAAAGAAGACGCUAGACAGAGACAUAUGUGGAGAAGGUAUAGCCUGGGAAGUAGAGGGAAAACCAAGAGUGAGAAGUCACUGAAACCAAAGGAAAAGAUGGCUUUCCUUUGGGGAAAUGGCCAACGCUGCAGAAUGCUGCUGAGGGUCAAAUAAGGUAAGAGCUGAAAAGUGUCCACAGGACUUGACAAGUAGGUCAUUGGCGAUCUCAGUGAGAACAGCUUCACUGGCACGGUGAAGGCGGGCGGAGAGGAGGGGGAGGUGGUAAGGAGGGCACUCUUUCAGGAAGUUUAUCUUCGAAGGGAAGGAGACAGUGUUAAGGAGCAGGAUGGGGACAGUGAGGGUUGGACAGCAUGUUCAAUGCUUAUAGGGAGGGGCAUGCAGAGAAGGAACAUUGUAGCUACAGAAGGGAGGGCGUCUGGAAGGCUGGAGGGGAGAGCAUCAGUGAAGGGAGGGCCUUGGAUGGAAGGUGGUUUGGCUCUUCCGCUGUGCGGGUGGUUGGGGGAAGGAAAGAUAGGAGGAAGAUGCUGUGUGAGCUGGCUGGCACACUGCUGGUGGGGUUGGGCACAGAGUCUGAGGUUUGAGGAGAGCAGAGCACAGGAGAGGCGACCAGCAAAACAGAGCAGGACUCUGGUGGCACUGAGGCCUGCUCAGGUUACUGCCCACGCAUGAAACACUUGGCCUGGUGGGGUCGUUUUCCUCAGGAGCACUGACCCUCUGAGUAGAAAGGCAGAGAAGGCAGAGAACUGGACCCAGCCAGGGUAGAGGGUUUUCCAGAUGAGUUUAGUGGAGGACAAAUGUAAACGGAGUUGAAGAGAUUGGUAACAGAGUGGUUGCAGUGAAGAGAAAAUUGGUGAUUUGUGACCGAGCUGGGUGGUUAAAUCUCAGUGGUUUAAUACAGCAAAGUUUACUCUUCACUCACACAGCAGGCUGAUGUGGGUGUUCCUCACUGGGUAGCUCUUCUCCAAGUAGUGACUCAAGAACCCUUGUUGCUUUCACCUGGUGCCUCUGGCAUCUUCUACGAGUGGGUCCUGACGCCACCCUGAGGUUCUCCACUCCAGUCAGCAAAAGGGCAGCAGGCAUGGGGAUGACUGUGGCCCAUGCCAGAAAGGGGCAUAUAUUGCCUGUGCCCGUGUUGUACUGACUAGGACUCGGUCACGUGACCACGCCCACGUGGCAGGGAGGCUGGGAAACAAGUGUCCGGGAUGAAGAGGAAAUAAGGCUGGUGAUCAACCAGAAGACGUCGCGACAGAGAUCAGAGUGUUAGACAGUCAUCCAUUUGGAUAUGAAGCCACCCGGGUUGAAUAAUAGAGGCUGUCGGGUGAGAGGGAUAGUGAUAAGGUGGCUGGUAAAGAUGGGGAGGUGGGGCCCGAAGGUGAAGGGCAAGAGGCUCAAAGGCAUAGGGUGGGGCCAUCUUCCCUGAGGGUGGAGGUGAAGGGUGUGGAGGCUCUGGGGACUGGGGGAUGGGCAGCUGUCACUACGCCGGCUGCAGCCUAGGGGCCAAGAAGCAUCAUUUAGAAUGAGGCUGGUCUCAGGGCCAGGGAUGGAGCCUUUAGGGAAGCAGCUGAGGAUAUGGGGGAUUUUGUUAACUGUAGAACAGGGUUGCAGAGGGAGGCAGGAAAGAAGUGUGAGGGAGAAGUCCAGAGCAGGAUGGACAGAAGGGAGAGGACGAGAAGAAAUUAUACCUGAGUAGUGAGCAAGGAUUAUAGGUGUGUAUGGAAAGGGGGAUUAAGCUGGCCCCAAAGUAGCCAAAAGAACUGGUGUCUGCCAUUCCGAGUGGAGCACUCGAGUCUCCCGGUUACAGCCCAGGUAGGUUCCUCUUCCCGCAUAAUUCAAGUCUCUGGUGGGUGAGAAGAUGCUAGUCCCUCUGGAAGGAGUCAGUGGAGAUGUGGCUGAGUGUGGAUGGAGAGAAGGGAGGCUCCGGCAGGGCUGAAGGCUGAGACUGGAGGAAGGGGGCUUUCCAAGCAGGAGGGAGCCCCAGGCCCAGGCUGGGGAAGCUCUUGGGCUCUGCUCAGAGUGCACCACGGAAUACCUGGCCCAGAGCAGGCAUGACGGUUGACUUGAAUUCCAAUAAAACACCUGAUCCUUCGGGAGGAACAGAAAGCUAUGAGCAAUGGCUCUCCACUGACAGUUUCAGAGGUGGGAGGGCUCUGAGAGUGCAGUUCAGGAACAGAACCUGCAGCCUCCCGUCUUGAAAGCAUCGUAGCAAGCGGCUACCCUGGCUUGCUGUGAUGCGGGAUGAGGUAGUUCAGUUUGCGAAAAAACAUCUUGUUGGUUUUGGAGCCAAGAAAUCAAAGCUGUAAAGACCAUAUGAUCUGUGGCAGCAGUUUCUCUUCAGAGACAGGUUUCAUAAGUAAUCAGAGUAGGAGGCCUUGUUGGGGAAGGCAUGGCUGUUUCCAAAUGCUGUUAACUGGCUCAGAGGGAGGCCAAACGCGUAUGCCUUCAACCCUUAUCUUUUGCCUAAUAUGAACAGAAGAAUUACAAUAAUGGUCAUGAUUAGUGGAGCACUUUAAAAUACCUACAUCCCAAGAAAGUGUUUCCUUUUCCUAUAUUUUGCAGAGAUAUUUUCUGAUCUGUCCCAGAUAUUCAGUGCAAUGUAUGGGAGCCAGAAAUUGCAAUAGUAGGAAGGCAGAGGGAAGAGAGAGAGAUGCACGAAGAGAAGAGAGACAAUUUAUCAAAAUUUGUGUUUUACAAUAUGAAUAAUGUCACCUCAUUUCUUUCUU